AGAGCUAAAAUAAACGAAUAAACAUAAAAAAGUUAAACAGUCCAAAGUCAAUUACAAUGUGAAGAUCUAGCUAAUCAAUGAAAGCUAACUGAACUACACUAAACCAAAUUAUUGAACACAAGUACAAUUGCAACAUGGCCUUUAUUUCAUCCCAAAUUAAGAGCUACAUCAUAGGAGAGCCAAGAUUGAUACCUGGAUGUAAAAGAAACAAAGAAAAAAUGAUGAAGAAUCAGCAACUAACAGAGCAGUAAUCAGUAGCUUUGAAUAAGUUAUGAACCAGAAAGCCCAAAAAUGGAUUUGUU
RNAcentral lists this long non-coding RNA (302 nucleotides) under Nicotiana benthamiana. Its description in RNAcentral is "long non-coding RNA (NBEN_LNC021296)". Lineage: Eukaryota; Viridiplantae; Streptophyta; Magnoliopsida; Solanales; Solanaceae. The record is from RNAcentral.